Molecule: ribosomal RNA, 406 nt
Filed under: uncultured bacterium
Lineage: Bacteria
Description: bacterial SSU rRNA
Rfam family: Bacterial small subunit ribosomal RNA
Source: RNAcentral
GGUUAAAACUCAAAUGAAUUGACGGGGGCCCGCACAAGCGGUGGAGCAUGUGGUUUAAUUCGAUGCAACGCGAAGAACCUUACCUGGUCUUGACAUCCACAGAACUUUCCAGAGAUGGAUUGGUGCCUUCGGGAACUGUGAGACAGGUGCUGCAUGGCUGUCGUCAGCUCGUGUUGUGAAAUGUUGGGUUAAGUCCCGCAACGAGCGCAACCCUUAUCCUUUGUUGCCAGCGGUUAGGCCGGGAACUCAAAGGAGACUGCCAGUGAUAAACUGGAGGAAGGUGGGGAUGACGUCAAGUCAUCAUGGCCCUUACGACCAGGGCUACACACGUGCUACAAUGGCGCAUACAAAGAGAAGCGACCUCGCGAGAGCAAGCGGACCUCAUAAAGUGCGUCGUAGUCCGGAU